This 253-nucleotide ribosomal RNA is filed under the name uncultured bacterium. Its description in RNAcentral is "partial 16S ribosomal RNA". It matches the Rfam family "Bacterial small subunit ribosomal RNA", at positions 524 to 776 of the family's 1533-position model. The record is from RNAcentral.
UACGAAGGUGGCAAGCGUUACUCGGAAUUACUAGGCGUAAAGCGCAGGUAGGCGGUUCGAUAAGUCUUUUGUGAAAGCUCCCGGCUUAACUGGGAGAGGUCAAGAGAAACUGUCGAGCUAGAGUGUGGUAGAGGUAACUGGAAUUCCCGGUGUAGCGGUGAAAUGCGUAGAUAUCGGGAGGAAUACCUAUGGCGAAAGCAGGUUACUGGGCCAUCACUGACGCUGAGCUGCGAAAGCUAGGGGAGCAAACGGG